GACGAACGCUGGCGGCGUGCCUAAUACAUGCAAGUAGAACGCUGAAGAGAGGAGCUUGCUCUUCUUGGAUGAGUUGCGAACGGGUGAGUAACGCGUAGGUAACCUGCCUUGUAGCGGGGGAUAACUAUUGGAAACGAUAGCUAAUACCGCAUAACAAUGGAUGACACAUGUCAUUUAUUUGAAAGGGGCAAUUGCUCCACUACAAGAUGGACCUGCGUUGUUUUAGCUAGUAGGUGAGGUAAUGGCUCACCUAGGCGACGAUACAUAGCCGACCUGAGAGGGUGAUCGGCCACACUGGGACUGAGACACGGCCCAGACUCCUACGGGAGGCAGCAGUAGGGAAUCUUCGGCAAUGGGGGCAACCCUGACCGAGCAACGCCGCGCGAGUGAAGAAGGUUUUCGGAUCGUAAAGCUCUGUUGUAAGUCAAGAACGGGUGUGAGAGUGGAAAGUUCACACUGUGACGGUAGCUUACCAGAAAGAGACGGCUAACUACGUG
RNAcentral lists this ribosomal RNA (497 nucleotides) under uncultured bacterium. Its description in RNAcentral is "partial 16S ribosomal RNA". It matches the Rfam family "Bacterial small subunit ribosomal RNA", at positions 28 to 507 of the family's 1533-position model. The record is from RNAcentral.